UUCGCCUGUCGUUUAUGAGGAUGAGCACCUCCGCAGGAGGUUCGAGCCUCGCGAAGCGAGACAACGUUGCUUUGGCAACGGCCCGCAGGGCGCGCAUCAACGAGGCAACGGCCCGCAGGGCGCGCAUCAACGAUGCGCGUAAUCCUCUCUCGCCGACCA
Molecule: small RNA, 159 nt
Filed under: Serratia marcescens
Lineage: Bacteria; Pseudomonadati; Pseudomonadota; Gammaproteobacteria; Enterobacterales; Yersiniaceae
Description: RtT sRNA
Rfam family: RtT RNA
About the family: This family represents a bacterial cis-regulatory element known as RtT RNA.
Source: RNAcentral